RNAcentral lists this ribosomal RNA (497 nucleotides) under uncultured bacterium. RNAcentral describes it as "partial 16S ribosomal RNA". It matches the Rfam family "Bacterial small subunit ribosomal RNA", at positions 28 to 507 of the family's 1533-position model. The record is from RNAcentral.
GAUGAACGCUGGCGGCGUGCCUAAUACAUGCAAGUCGAGCGAACAGACGAGGAGCUUGCUCCUCUGACGUUAGCGGCGGACGGGUGAGUAACACGUGGAUAACCUACCUAUAAGACUGGGAUAACUUCGGGAAACCGGAGCUAAUACCGGAUAACAUGUUGAACCGCAUGGUUCAACAGUGAAAGACGGUUUUGCUGUCACUUAUAGAUGGAUCCGCGUCGCAUUAGCUAGUUGGUAAGGUAACGGCUUACCAAGGCAACGAUGCGUAGCCGACCUGAGAGGGUGAUCGGCCACACUGGAACUGAGACACGGUCCAGACUCCUACGGGAGGCAGCAGUAGGGAAUCUUCCGCAAUGGGCGAAAGCCUGACGGAGCAACGCCGCGUGAGUGAAGAAGAUCUUCGGAUCGUAAAACUCUGUUAUUAGGGAAGAACAAAUGUGUAAGUAACUAUGCACGUCUUGACGGUACCUAAUCAGAAAGCCACGGCUAACUACGUG